UCUGGUGUCAGCCGCCGCGGUAAAACCAGCACCUCAAGUGGUCAGGAUGAUUAUUGGGCCUAAAGCAUCCGUAGCCGGCUCUGUAAGUUUUCGGUUAAAUCUGUACGCUCAACGUACAGGCUGCCGGGAAUACUGCAGAGCUAGGGAGUGGGAGAGGUAGACGGUACUCGGUAGGAAGGGGUAAAAUCCUUUGAUCUAUUGAUGACCACCUGUGGCGAAGGCGGUCUACCAGAACACGUCCGACGGUGAGGGAUGAAAGCUGGGGGAGCAAACCGGAUUAGAUACCCGGGUAGUCCCAGCUGUAAACUAUGCAAACUCAGUGAUGCAUUGGCUUGUGGCCAAUGCAGUGCUGCAGGGAAGCCGUUAAGUUUGCCGCCUGGGAAGUACGUACGCAAGUAUGAAACUUAAAGGAAUUGGCGGGGGAGCACCACAAGGGGUGAAGCCUGCGGUUCAAUUGGAGUCAACGCCAGAAAUCUUACCCGGAGAGACAGCAGAAUGAAGGUCAAGCUGAAGACUUUACCAGACAAGCU
RNAcentral lists this ribosomal RNA (530 nucleotides) under uncultured Nitrososphaerota archaeon. Its description in RNAcentral is "bacterial SSU rRNA". It matches the Rfam family "Archaeal small subunit ribosomal RNA", at positions 451 to 981 of the family's 1478-position model. Lineage: Archaea; Thermoproteati; Nitrososphaerota. The record is from RNAcentral.